Non-coding RNA from Sinomicrobium oceani, 398 nucleotides. It matches the Rfam family "transfer-messenger RNA". Rfam says of the family: Bacterial tmRNA, also known as 10Sa RNA or SsrA, is named for its dual tRNA and mRNA-like properties. Its role is to liberate the mRNA from a stalled ribosome. To accomplish this part of the tmRNA is used as a reading frame that ends in a translation stop signal. The record is from Rfam. Lineage: Bacteria; Pseudomonadati; Bacteroidota; Flavobacteriia; Flavobacteriales; Flavobacteriaceae.
GGGGUCGACUGGUUUUGACAGCGGGUCGAAUUGAAAUGUAAGCAUGCAGAGCGCCGGGACACAGCUCUUAAAUCUCAUGUUUCACACCUUUUAAAUGGCGAGAAUAACUACGCUCUUGCUGCGUAAUCUGAAUUAUAGUAGGAUUUAGCCAAGUUUCCGCAAGGCGGAAAAGCAGGAUGUCUCCGGAUAGCCCUUGUUGACGGCGGUCCGCAAGGAGGCACCAUAAAAGUCAACAUAGAAACACUGUAGCUUCGUCAGUGUUUUAAACCUUAAGAAGCUAAGCAUAGGAUAGGCGGUUUUCGGUCAGCCCUAUGUCGAAAAACAAACGAAAACUAAGCACGUAGAAAGCAUUUUGAUUGCCUGUUUGGACGAGAGUUCGAUUCUCUCCGACUCCACUU